RNAcentral lists this unclassified non-coding RNA (337 nucleotides) under soil metagenome. RNAcentral describes it as "partial contains 5.8S ribosomal RNA, internal transcribed spacer 2, and large subunit ribosomal RNA". The stretch from base 1 to 120 matches the Rfam family "5.8S ribosomal RNA", at positions 35 to 154 of the family's 154-position model. The record is from RNAcentral.
GAUGAAGAACGUAGCGAAAUGCGAUAAGUAGUGUGAAUUGCAGAAUUCAGUGAAUCAUCGAAUCUUUGAACGCACAUUGCGCCCCUUGGUAUUCCAUGGGGCAUGCCUGUUCGAGCGUCAUUUGUACCUUCAAGCUCUGCUUGGUGUUGGGUGUUUGUCCCGCCUUUGCGCGUGGACUCGCCUCAAAUGCAGUUGGCAGCUUAUCCCUCGGCUCUAAACGCAGCAGAUUUGCGUCGAGCGUCGUGUGGACGGGCUCUCCAGUAAGCAAACCCCCCAAAAUUGACCUCGGAUCAGGUAGGGAUACCCGCUGAACUUAAGCAUAUCAAUAAGCGGAGGA